RNAcentral lists this long non-coding RNA (487 nucleotides) under Brassica napus (rape). Its description in RNAcentral is "long non-coding RNA (BNAP_LNC022074)". Lineage: Eukaryota; Viridiplantae; Streptophyta; Magnoliopsida; Brassicales; Brassicaceae. The record is from RNAcentral.
UUGACCAAGUUCUAUAUUCUCCACAACUAACUUUAAGCCCACUACGUUUUACCCAUGAAACACGGCAUAUGAGGAGACAUUCACAAAAAAGCUCCUAGAGCUAUACGAAAAAUCCUCACUAAAAAUACACGAAAUAAAUCUCGGAAGGACAACUCUUCACAAAGCACAGUGAAGGAAACCGCUUAUUCCCAGGGACAAAUUUACACUACCCCUUGGUCCUAGUUCAUCGAUCACGAAUCAAACAAUUUAAUAUCAAAAUAGAAACAACAGUUUUGGCUGAGAAACACCCGCAAACAAACAAAAACGUUUCUUUGUCGCAAAGUUAAAACAAAACCCUUUGCCACUGCAAAACAUCUCUGAGCCCGGAAACGUUUCAAACAAGAAACACGGCAUACAAAAGAGAUCUUCUAAAGAAGGAUGCUUUCAAUUAAUUUGCUACACAAACAAACUUCGUCUGCGAAGCCUCCGCAAACAAACCAAAGUAUUU